GGAUUGUGGCUCAGCGGUAGAGCGCUUGCCUCGCACGGGCGGGACCUGGGUUCAAUCCUCAGCACCA
This 67-nucleotide transfer RNA is filed under the name Marmota monax (woodchuck). Its description in RNAcentral is "tRNA.Ala". Lineage: Eukaryota; Metazoa; Chordata; Mammalia; Rodentia; Sciuridae. The record is from RNAcentral.